UACAGAGGUGCCAAGCGUUAGGCGGAAUCACUGGGCUUAAAGCGCGUGUAGGUGGGUCGUUAAGUGUCCGCGUGAAAUCCCACGGCUCAACCGUGGAACUGCCGGGCAUACUGGCGAUCUUGAGGCAUUCAGGGGCGAGCGGAACAAGUGGUGGAGCGGUGAAAUGCGUAGAUAUCACUUGGAACGCCAAUGGUGAAAACAGCUCGCUGGGAAUGAUCUGACACUGAAACGCGAAAGCCAGGGGAGCGAACGGG
Molecule: ribosomal RNA, 254 nt
Filed under: uncultured bacterium
Lineage: Bacteria
Description: partial 16S ribosomal RNA
Rfam family: Bacterial small subunit ribosomal RNA
Source: RNAcentral